Molecule: ribosomal RNA, 519 nt
Filed under: uncultured bacterium
Lineage: Bacteria
Description: partial 16S ribosomal RNA
Rfam family: Bacterial small subunit ribosomal RNA
Source: RNAcentral
GACGAACGCUGGCGGCGUGCCUAAUACAUGCAAGUCGAGCGAGUCUGCCUUGAAGAUCGGAGUGCUUGCACUCUGUGAAACAAGAUACAGGCUAGCGGCGGACGGGUGAGUAACACGUGGGUAACCUGCCCAAGAGAUCGGGAUAACACCUGGAAACAGAUGCUAAUACCGGAUAACAACAGAUGAUGCCUAUCAACUGUUUAAAAGAUGGUUCUGCUAUCACUCUUGGAUGGACCUGCGGUGCAUUAGCUAGUUGGUAGGGUAACAGCCUACCAAGGCGAUGAUGCAUAGCCGAGUUGAGAGACUGAUCGGCCACAUUGGGACUGAGACACGGCCCAAACUCCUACGGGAGGCAGCAGUAGGGAAUCUUCCACAAUGGGCGCAAGUCUGAUGGAGCAACGCCGCGUGAGUGAAGAAGGGUUUCGGCUCGUAAAGCUCUGUUGUUGGUGAAGAAGGACAGGGGUAGUAACUGACCUUUGUUUGACGGUAAUCAAUUAGAAAGUCACGGCUAACUAAGUG